RNAcentral lists this unclassified non-coding RNA (309 nucleotides) under fungal sp. RNAcentral's name for it is "partial internal transcribed spacer region". The record is from RNAcentral. Lineage: Eukaryota; Fungi.
AAGUCGUAACAAGGUCUCCGUUGGUGAACCUGCGGUUGGAUCAUUAAUAAAAUUAAUAAGAAAUUGGGAUUGGGAUUUAUUUUCCUUUCCUUUUUUUUUUCAACCCAAUGUGAACCGUAUAUUGUCUUUUGGUGGGGUCAAAAAAGAAAAAGAAACGACUGGGCGAGUAAUCGUCUUUAGUUUAUUUCUCUUUCAAACCGCACCAAAAUUUAUGUUUUAAACUUUUUAUUUUUAUAAUAUGACUUUUUUAAAAAUCUUUUAAAUUUUAUAAUUUAAUAACAACUUUUGGCAACGGAUCUCUAGGCUCUU